UUUUGAUUGACGUUAUUGAAUUAAAUUUGACCUAUCUUAUACACACAUAUUCAUGCUAAAUAUUUUAACUUAUUUUAUUCAUUUGAAAUGGAAUUUCUUCUAAAUAAUUUAAAAUGUAAAUUUAUAGUUAUAUAACUGGAUAUAUUUUUAUUUAAAAGAAGUUGCAGCUGAAAUAGUUUUUUGGUCAGUAUUAGUACGUGUAAGACAGAAGCAGCUUACGUUAUCACUUGGUCUAACAAUAAUGUCCAAUGAUGUAUUUUACUCAUCGAUUUUUUUUGUUUUCAGAUGACAUAAAAUUUAUCGUUACUAAAAUCAUUGGCCCGUAAGAAGCUCUAAUGCUAGACAACCAAGGGUUUUUAAAUGAGAGAGACAUAAAAAUUCGGACUUUUGAAUCACACAAUGAUUGAUAAGCGUUCAUUGGACACUUUUACUUGCCAUUUAAGUAAACACUGUCCACUUUGAUAUUUCUUUGGAAAAUUAUUAAUUGUAUGAAUACUAAACACGGUCUAAAUGGCGUUUUUUCGACUUUAUGUCCUAUGGAUAAUCAUAUUUUGGGUUAUAUAUGAAAUUUAUGCAUCUCAGAAAUCAGUUGAAUUGAAUAAAAGUCUAAUGUGUUUGUGUACUUGUGUCAAAUAUUUUAUUGUUGACGUUGUAUCAAUAAUGAAUUUAUUGCUAACGCAAUUUUGUUUGCCCUAACUGUUAUCGAGUUUACACUUACAGUCGAGGAUUAGCGAGACACAUCAAGUACGAGUGUGGUGUUGAAUGGAAGUUCCCCUGUGGCACGUGCAACAGAC
Molecule: long non-coding RNA, 794 nt
Organism: Daktulosphaira vitifoliae (grape phylloxera)
Lineage: Eukaryota; Metazoa; Arthropoda; Insecta; Hemiptera; Phylloxeridae
Exons: 3
Source: RefSeq, a predicted model, not a curated record